AACGAACGCUGGCGGCAUGCCUAACACAUGCAAGUCGAACGAGAUCUUCGGGUCUAGUGGCGCACGGGUGCGUAACGCGUGGGAAUCUGCCCUUUGGUUCGGAAUAACAGUUGGAAACGACUGCUAAUACCGGAUGAUGAAAGUCCAAAGAUUUAUCGCCAGAGGAUGAGCCCGCGUAGGAUUAGCUAGUUGGUGUGGUAAAGGCGCACCAAGGCGACGAUCCUUAGCUGGUCUGAGAGGAUGAUCAGCCACACUGGGACUGAGACACGGCCCAGACUCCUACGGGAGGCAGCAGUGGGGAAUAUUGGACAAUGGGCGAAAGCCUGAUCCAGCAAUGCCGCGUGAGUGAUGAAGGCCUUAGGGUUGUAAACUCCUUUUGUUUCGAUGGAGACAUCGGAAAGAAUAAGCACUCGCUAACUACGUGCCAGCAGCCGCAGUAA
This 440-nucleotide ribosomal RNA is filed under the name uncultured bacterium. RNAcentral describes it as "partial 16S ribosomal RNA". It matches the Rfam family "Bacterial small subunit ribosomal RNA", at positions 29 to 523 of the family's 1533-position model. The record is from RNAcentral.